Molecule: long non-coding RNA, 217 nt
Filed under: Homo sapiens (human)
Lineage: Eukaryota; Metazoa; Chordata; Mammalia; Primates; Hominidae
Description: HSALNT0112346
Source: RNAcentral
CAUUACCUAUUCUUGUGCUCCAGCUAUCUCGGUAGUCACUUACUGGAAAAUGGAUUACAGGCAUUCUCUAAGGCAUGAACAUGAUUUUGAAGAAAUCCUUUACCAUCACACAUCACACAAGCCUGCCUGUGCUCCUCCAGAAACGUAGCCCUAGUACUCCUGGAAGCCCAUUUUGUUCCUUCAGGGAGUAUGCUUUCUUUGUGCAGAGAGGAGAAAA